GACUACACGGGUAUCUAAUCCUGUUUGCUCCCCACGCUUUCGCACAUGAGCGUCAGUAUUGGUCCAGGAGGCCGCUUUCGCCACUGAUGUUCCUUCAGAUAUCUACGCAUUUCACCGCUACACCUGAAAUUCCGCCUCCCUCUCCCAUACUCAAGCCAUACAGUCUCGAAUGCAGUUCCCAGGUUGAGCCCGGGGAUUUCACACUCGACUUGUAUAGCCGCCUACGCGCGCUUUACGCCCAGUAAUUCCGAUUAACGCUCGCACCCUCUGUAUUACCGCGGCUGCUGGCACAGAGUUAGCCGGUGCUUCUUUUGUGGGUUACGUCAAUACCCCGACGUGUUAGGUCGAGGCUUUUCUUCCCCACCGAAAGGGCUUUACAACCCGCAGGCCUUCUUCACCCACGCGGCGUCGCUGGAUCAGGGUUUCCCCCAUUGUCCAAUAUUCCCCACUGCAGCCCCCCGUAGG
Molecule: ribosomal RNA, 465 nt
Filed under: uncultured Steroidobacter sp.
Lineage: Bacteria; Pseudomonadati; Pseudomonadota; Gammaproteobacteria; Steroidobacterales; Steroidobacteraceae
Description: partial 16S ribosomal RNA
Source: RNAcentral